RNAcentral lists this ribosomal RNA (497 nucleotides) under uncultured bacterium. RNAcentral describes it as "partial 16S ribosomal RNA". It matches the Rfam family "Bacterial small subunit ribosomal RNA", at positions 28 to 507 of the family's 1533-position model. The record is from RNAcentral.
GAGGAAAGAGGGAGGCGUGCCUAAUACAUGCAAGUCGAGCGAACAGACGAGGAGCUUGCUCCUCUGACGUUAGCGGCGGACGGGUGAGUAACACGUGGAUAACCUACCUAUAAGACUGGGAUAACUUCGGGAAACCGGAGCUAAUACCGGAUAAUAUAUUGAACCGCAUGGUUCAAUAGUGAAAGACGGUUUUGCUGUCACUUAUAGAUGGAUCCGCGCCGCAUUAGCUAGUUGGUAAGGUAACAGCUUACCAAGGCAACGAUGCGUAGCCGACCUGAGAGGGUGAUCGGCCACACUGGAACUGAGACACGGUCCAGACUCCUACGGGAGGCAGCAGUAGGGAAUCUUCCGCAAUGGGCGAAAGCCUGACGGAGCAACGCCGCGUGAGUGAUGAAGGUCUUCGGAUCGUAAAACUCUGUUAUUAGGGAAGAACAAAUGUGUAAGUAACUAUGCACGUCUUGACGGUACCUAAUCAGAAAGCCACGGCUAACUACGUG